CUUUCCCAAGUUUUUCCAAGGGCUGUCCAGCACGGGGAUCCGUGUGCUGGGACAGUGAUUGGCAGGAGGAAGGGGAGCCUUGGCCUCACCUGCCCAGCUCAGGCCAGGACCAAGCCCUGAUCCAGCCCAGCUCUGCCAAGUGCCCUGGGCUGUGAGCAGCCCAAGGCAAGAGGCUGCAGCCCCGCCGGCCGGCGCUGGGGGCUCCUGGUGCUGCCCGUGGGCUGGGAUGUUGGAAUUGCCUCUCUGGGUGUGUGCUGAGCUCUGGCUGCAGGGGACUGUCAGGCAUUAGUGGCUCCUCCUUGCAGCUCCCAGCUGGGGAAACCUGGGAUAACUUAGGAGGGACAGAGGUGACAUUUUAAUCUGCAAACUUGGGGUAAUUUCUAGGGGAUACAGCAACUGUUUGUGUAGGAAAGUGUGUUUAACCACAUUGGUCCCAGUUGUGUUUGCACCAGCUGGGGCCAGAGGUGCAAGGCAAUCCAAAGCAAACCCUGCUCAGCCUCUAAAUCCCAGGGGAAGUUCUCCAAGCUGCUCACUGAGGGACUAAAGAUACAUUGAAAUGGAACCAAGAGCACUAAUAAGGAUCCUGGGAAUCCCAGUAUUGUUGUCCUAGAAUUUUUAACAGGUUUUUAAACUUUUUAUGACAAGAAUGGCUUUCUUCCUUUGAUUGAAUCCUGCGGUAGGAUUUGGGAUUUCUUGGGAUUCCGAAUCCCUCCCAAUGGCCCUGACACUGAUCAGGAACUUGCAGGACAAACAGAGUCAGAGCUCCUGGCAGGCACAGGGGCUUUCCCCCAGAGUGGAUCCAACUGCUGCCCCCCAGCCUGGCCAGGUGGGAUCUGCUUUGGCUCCCGGCUUCUGCCAGAGACAGAAUGUGUUCCCUUGAUUGGAAUGGGGAUCCAGUAGCUUCA
Long non-coding RNA from Chiroxiphia lanceolata (lance-tailed manakin), 905 nucleotides. RefSeq lists it as uncharacterized. The record is from RefSeq and is a predicted model, not a curated record. The transcript is spliced from 4 exons. NCBI's taxonomy places the organism in Eukaryota, Metazoa, Chordata, Aves, Passeriformes, Pipridae.